UGGGGAAUUUUGGACAAUGGGGGCAACCCUGAUCCAGCCAUGCCGCGUGAGUGAAGAAGGCCUUCGGGUUGUAAAGCUCUUUCGGGCGGAAAGAAAUCGCAUUGGAUAAUACCCAGUGUGGAUGACGGUACCGCAAGAAGAAGCACCGGCUAACUACGUGCCAGCAGCCGCGGUAAUACGUAGGGUGCGAGCGUUAAUCGGAAUUACUGGGCGUAAAGCGUGCGCAGGCGGUUGUGUAAGAUCGAUGUGAAAUCCCCGGGCUUAACCUGGGAACUGCGUUGAUGACUGCACAACUCGAGUACGGCAGAGGGGGGUGGAAUUCCUGGUGUAGCAGUGAAAUGCGUAGAGAUCAGGAGGAACACCGAUGGCGAAGGCAGCCCCCUGGGCCGAUACUGACGCU
RNAcentral lists this ribosomal RNA (400 nucleotides) under uncultured bacterium. RNAcentral's name for it is "bacterial SSU rRNA". It matches the Rfam family "Bacterial small subunit ribosomal RNA", at positions 355 to 747 of the family's 1533-position model. The record is from RNAcentral.